UAAAAAUAGACUGAGGGAGGAAGGGCAAAGGGCCCUGUUUGGAGCAGGUGCUCCAUGUGUUUCUGUUCGGCCUUAGCAACACCCUUAGGAAGUGUCCCCUCUGCUGUGCAGAUGUCGGCAAGGUUACGUCACCAGCACGGAAGCUCUGGUGCAGGACGUGAACCUGGAUCCCACGCUCGUGUUCACGACUCAGGCCCACGGUGUGCGAGGUGGCUCUGUGUGGCAGGGGUGCGGGCCACAGGGAGACCCCGGAGCCCUUCAGCACGCUGUGCCCCAGUGCCCGAGCAGAGAAGAGACACCCAGGAGGAUCUGGGGGGAAUUUGAUGUCUGCUAUUUAAAAAAAUGUGUCCAAGUCAUUACUGUGGGGAUAAACUUCACCCUUUGAAGGCGGCUGUAACAUGCCCCACGUCCCGUGGCUCGCAGGACAGAGCCCUGCGCCUCUCACUUCUGGACGCUGAGUCUGAGACCAGGCUGUGGCCAAGCCAGGUCCCCCAGGCGCUGUGAGGGCAGCCCCCACUCCUGCUGCUCUGCUGGCAGCCUCUGGCAUUCCUUGCCUGGUAGACGCUCCAUCCGUGCCUUCAUCUUCACCUGGCUUCCUCCCCGAGAGGGCGACUGCGUCCAAAUCUCCGGUUUUGAUAGGAACACCAGUCAUCCUGGGUUCAGGUCCAUCCUGUGACGUCAUCUGAACUAAUCACGUCUGCAGUGACUCUGUUUCCAAGCCACCCCUGACCUGGAGUUGGACACGUCAGGGUAAGGGCCUGUCUCCAGAGGACCGUCCUCACUUCAGUCAUCAGCCACAAGCUCCGGUCUCCCAGGCCACCUGCAUGUCAGACCAACCAGCUACCAAUUCGGGGGCUCUGCUAUCCCCUCAUUGAAAUGAUUCCCAGAACUCAGAAGAAGCCCUGUACGUAUGACGACAGUGUUAUUAUGAAGGAUACAACUCACAAGCAGCAAAGGAAGAAAUUUAGAAGGCAAAGCCCAGGGGGGCCCACAUGUGAAGCUUUGUCACCCUCGCAGCACACAGGUGUGUGUCACCAACCAAGGGCGUCCCUCAGCCUCCAGUGUCCAGAGUUCUCACUGGACUUUCGCUACAGGGGCGUGGUUGAGUGAAUCCUUGGCCAUCUGAGCGAACUCAGUCUCCAGCCACGCGCCCCCUACACUCUAAUCUGUCGCCCAUCCCAGCCUCUAAUCACAUGGCCAGACCUAUGCUGGGACUGUCUGCAGGCCCACCGUGUGUGACAAGGGCCCUCCUGACACUCAGAACAUUCCAGAGGGCUUAGAGGCUCCCUCCCAGGACCUGGGGAUACAGACCAGCCAGACUCUUUAUUACAGAACAGCACCCAAAGUGACUCUCACAGAACACGGCCUGCGUGUCACACACACCCUUGUAAGCGCUUGCCCUGGAGUUCACUACCGCAGUGGGAAUCAAUGACCCACAGGCCACCCGGCAACAGGUGCUUGUACUACAGUUUUGAAGACCACACGCUCCCACAGUGCCUUGUUGUAAAGAGCGCAGCCCAGAUCCUCACCGUGUAACCGUCUGCCACGGGUUGCAGGACCUGCCAGCCUCCUGCACCUGCACCUGCAGAUCCCUGGCACAGCAGUUGCAGUCAGGCCCAGCCCUCAGGGCCCCAGAGAUGCAUGAGAGGCACAGUGUGAGUGUCCAUCUGCAACAGAGCAUGUUCAGCAGGAGCCAUGGUACCCUGAGUCCCUGCCAAUGUGACACAAGACAAGGGCCAGCAGGUGGGUGCGUCCUCUCCCAGGGAAACAUGUCAACAGGGACCUUGCCCAGUAUUUCCCAAGACGUGUUGGGGGAAAGGUUGGUCCUGCUGAUGUGGACAGGGAGGUAUGCCGGGAGGUGCAUCCCGAACCCCAUCUAAGAGAUGCUGAGGCUGUAACUAAAUGUGCUGUUUGCUGCCUGCCUCCCCAAGGGGGUCUGUUCCCACACUGUUCGCUCCUCCUGUCAGCAUCUUUGGGAUGUGAGCCCAUCUCUGGAAACACCGCCUUCACGAAAAGCAGUGACUGGCUCCCACCCCGCAGGAAAUUUUUACUUCCCAUGGGUCAGCCAUCUGGAGAAGACCUCUGUGGCUAUUCCAGGAUCCAUCUCAUCCCAAGUGGAGCUAGAAAUAGAAGCUAUACUAAUUGGGAGACCUCAAAAAUAUUGCCUACCUUUUUCUUUUUUAAAGAUUC
Molecule: long non-coding RNA, 2190 nt
Organism: Canis lupus familiaris (dog)
Lineage: Eukaryota; Metazoa; Chordata; Mammalia; Carnivora; Canidae
Exons: 3
Source: RefSeq, a predicted model, not a curated record